This 363-nucleotide long non-coding RNA is filed under the name Physcomitrium patens. RNAcentral's name for it is "long non-coding RNA (PPAT_LNC008360)". Lineage: Eukaryota; Viridiplantae; Streptophyta; Bryopsida; Funariales; Funariaceae. The record is from RNAcentral.
UCCUCUUUACUAGAAUCAACACUAAUACAAAGGAAACAAGAAAACUAAGAAGAAGAGAUAGCAUCAAGCUUAUCCCCGGCUCAGUACUAUCGUGGUCUGGCAUUUUCUUCCCCUCUCCCAUCCUCCUUAUACUACCCUGAGAUACCAAAUCUUAUACUACAAAUGAUAACUAUUUUUCCUAACUAUUCAUCCAUUCUACCUAUUGAACCACCUUUUCAGCAGUUAUCUAUCCCUAUUUAUACUAUACACUAGGUAUCUACAUUCUGAAAAUAACUACUUAUUCUACCCUCCUCAUGUAAUUCAAUUACUCAAUACUCUAAUUACAUGAUCAAUAACUCAUAAAUCAAUCUCUGAUUUAUUUCA